Hippocampus zosterae (dwarf seahorse) is the source of this 2998-nucleotide long non-coding RNA. RefSeq lists it as uncharacterized. The transcript has 3 exons. The record is from RefSeq and is a predicted model, not a curated record. Lineage: Eukaryota; Metazoa; Chordata; Actinopteri; Syngnathiformes; Syngnathidae.
CGGUCUUUUAAUUUGUUCUUUAAAUGGUUGUAGUAAAGUUCUAGUUGCAGGCUCUUGCAAGUCAUUUUUAGGAUGACAAUAUGACUCUCUGUUGUCAAGAAGAGUUGAAAAGCAGUUACUUUAAUCAAUCUCGCAGCACUUUAUUAGGAGAAACGGGGAUUAAACGUUUUAAAAGUCUAAGAGAGACUUUUUUUUGCCAGUCUGUACGGCUAUUAACUAAAACACUAGAUGCUGCAUGCGUACUCUACCUCCUUUGCUAUUUUGUGCUUGCUUAGUGAUGUGUAUACAGUAUACAGAUUGUACAGUUUGUGCACUUAAUGUCAAUUGAAGACUUUAGGGGGCGCCUCCUCCCUCCCAUUCUCACAUCCAUUCGCAAGUGUAGGACUCCUGCGUGAUUUAUUUUGAUGCCUUGACUGCUUUUGGUCCUUUUCCAGAGGGCUCUCUCGCGUCUACGCCGCACACCUUCAUUUUAUCGUUGACGCCUGGCUUGUUUAGAGGCAAUUAGGGAGCUAAUUGUGCUAAAUUUCUUUACGGCUCUUUGCAGCAAAAAAAAUAAAUAAAAGUCAAGAACGCAUGGCUGCAUGCCCGAGCAGCUGCUGGCGUUUAUGGCGGGGAAAAGCGGGGAGCACGUCGUCGGGGGAUCGGGGAAGGUGGAGGCUGGAAAGAAGAGGAAGGUGUAGGGUAGACGCCAGUUUGUUGCUAUGAUAAGCAGCGAACAAAUAAUAACCCCUCUGAAGCCCUGCGGCCACGCAUCCCCAAAGAGUCACAAUGAAGGCGAUACAAUGAAUUCUCGCAAUGUUGCCCUUCAUCCUUUGCCUCGUCAGGAUCAUAGGUGUGUCUGCAUCAUAUCCCCCGCGAUAAACGAGGCUUCACUGUCUAUCCCCACGUCGACUCCAUCUGAGAGUGUGCCAACAUGGCCCGGGGCUCGCGGGUGACAGCUAGCAUGUGGCGCAGCUCCUCUGGAGUGGAGAGCUUCCAAAGGACCGCCACAUGCCAACUCGCACUCCGAGUUGGGGAUUUGAGCCGUCUCGCUGCCAACAAAAGGCGUCGGAAGCAAGCGGCCACUUCUUCCCCAGACUCCCCGUCGGGCUGCACGGAUGGACGCCUCUCGGACGGAAUCCCGCCGGCCGUUUCUCUCGCACGGAAAGGAAGAGCUGAAGGCUCGGGCAGCUGGCGGUUGGAAAGGAUCGGGCGAGAGGGAAUACCGAUGCGCAAGCGUGAGGAAUAUUCUGAACAAAGUCAACGAGGAUGAGCCUUGAGUGGCUAUAGUCUAUGAAAUGACGGUGACUGUGAUGCAGAUACACGAACCACUUAGCUCGUGAACAAAGUCGAGUCACGUGAAGGACAAGAGGGCGCCAUUUUUUUUUGUCUCACUGCUGCUUUAUUGUGUUUAUAAUAGCACAGCUGAUGAUAAAUGUUCCGCAGAGUGCUCAUCCGAUCAAAUAUUCAGACCCCACCACCCGCAACCCCCUCCAUCACAUCCACACCUUCUUCAUUUGCUUGGUGAGGAAAAGCAAUAAAUUCCCUUGUGGAACAGCAGUCAUGUCAUAUUUAUAUGAAUAUGCAAAAGCAUGGCUGGCACAUUAAGAUGAAUUUGGCCCAUAUGCGCUUUUAAGCACUUUGGGUGUACUUGUGUUUGGCCGGGUUGAUCACGUGACUGGACACGUCAUUAGUUUCACAGAUAUGCUUUCUAACUAACAUUUUUUGAAGGGACUCAAAAAGGAUUAACGCACGGAAAAGUUUUGACUUAGAAAUAAGUGAAGCAAUAUUUGUUUUUAUUUUCAUUUUACGUUUUUUUUUCCCCCUUCAGCUCAGGUGGACGGUGUGUGUGUGUGGGUGUGUGUGUGUGCGCCCCCCGCAGAGCCAACCCCUCCCGGGUUAAUGAUGACAGGAAGCAGGCCAGAUGGCAGCGGUGCACGACCUCCUCUCGGGAGAGCCGGCAGCUGAGGAGGAUGAAAGAUGCCAGGUUUCAAAUCGGGCGGCCUCAGAGGAGCACAGCUCCCCAACCCCCCCCCCCCCCCCCCCCCCCAUCUUUGAUGUCUGACAGCCAACGGAGGGACAAUUGGAAGUAGUGUGAGCCAUCCACAAUUCCUGUACUUUUAUGUGGGCGUGCAUAUGUUACCGAUAACAUAUUCAAGGCCGUGUGGCAAUGAUAAUAUUACAACACAGUGAACGCCUGCUCUGCAAAGAGACCAUACUAUGUAACAUUCUACACUCGAGGCUGGUCGUCUGCAUUCAGAUCGUGAUGGCGGAAUCAUGAACCCCACCAUCUCUUUUAUCGAAUAGUAGCUACCGCACAUGUUCAUAUUUUAACAAUGCCAGUAAUUUUUAUUUUAUUUUUUGGCGCCCCAGGGCAGAAACACAUCACAAAUCAGACAAUGAUAAAAUUAUGUCCUGUCAGGCUCAGCAGGAUGUUGACGUGCGCUUGAAAAGUCGACAAUAAGAUGAGUAUGGAGAUUUGGAGACGGAAGCUAAAAAGUUAUGCGCCAUUUUAUCUGAUCUGAUAUUGACGUGUGAUGUGCUACCAUGAGAGCUAACGAGGUGACAUAGAUUGUCUCACCCCUACUUCAUAUUAUCCACCUGUUUUAUUGUUGGCGGACUUCAAACUUUUCCUUCCAUCUGAAUAAUUGUUGUAUAGUCAUAAAAUUAUUCUUAUUAUUAUGAGAAUGCACCUGCGUACAAAAUAAGGCUGGUUCUCCUGGUUCUGAUUCUCUUGGUUCUCCUCCUCCAUCUUCUGUCAGAUAGGUUGGUGGUUUAAUUGAUGGCGCUCAUUAAGGGGUGCACACCACAUAAAAAAUGGCAGCAAUUAUCAUUUAUCUUGAUAAAUUAUUUAGUGGGGAUCAUUUUCCUGCCUGGUCGGGGAGCGGGAGGCGUAGUGGUGGGCGGCGGGAGGCGGAGGCGAGACUGCAAUUACACCUUUUGGCUCAUUUGAGCAAUGUGUAAAAACCUGAAAUGUUUGAGGUUAGCUAUGCUAACAUGUAGCCACUUAGCGCCUACC